Astatotilapia calliptera (eastern happy) is the source of this 1071-nucleotide long non-coding RNA. The record is from Ensembl. Lineage: Eukaryota; Metazoa; Chordata; Actinopteri; Cichliformes; Cichlidae.
UUGUAUAACUCGUGUUUCACCUCAGCUGAACUUGACGCAUCUGGUUCACCGGCGGCGCGAGUCGCACGGCGCAGUCUGCUGUGUGUCCCCACUGAACCGAGCUGCAUGGCCGGCCGAGAGAGACGCGGAGAAAGAAAGGGGGGAAACGCAACACUUUCGUGACAUAGCAGCGGCUCUCGGAGACCGAGUCACGGGAUGACUCCUCCACAUCUCAGUCUGCAAAUAUCGUCCCUUUCUUGCUUUUUUAAUUUCCUGCUGUUUCGUGGCUCCAGACACAAAAAGGAAGACGAGUCACCGUGGGCUAAAGGAAAUAUAAAGCCGGCCGACUUGGACACGCCGGAGCAGACCAUCCAACUUGAACUUGAGACGAAUCGGUGCCACAUCGAGGAGAACGAGAACCCACAGGGCCUCAGACAUUGUAAAGCAGAGAGGAUAUGUGGACAUACUGUGUGCAGCCGCGGAUGGGUCCAGCACAGCCGCUUCAUCCAGGAUAGCUCAUUGCUGUGGUGUGGGACAGUUACUUCAAAGUCUCAGUGGAGUCAUUACUUGGGAGUGACUUUAUUUUUCCGUGCCAGACAUUGAUAUCAAGCAUCGAGACGAGGAAACCUGAGAGGAGGCGAGUUGACAGACCGCACAGACCUGCUCAGGGAAGAUGACCUGCCAAGCUCAAGUGACAUGCAGAGGAAGUGUUUUGAGUGUAUUUUGUUUUGUUUUUUAAUUACCACACAUUUCGCAUAUUAAGCCUCUCCUUUAAAUGUAUAAAAAAAAAAAUAAGGAACCUCAUGAUCAGCUGGGGCCUUUCUGCAUGGAUGUCCUCCAUGUGCCUGUGUGGGUUUUUCUGGGUACUUUCCUCCCACAGUGCAUCUUAAGUUGGGUAAAUAGUGAUUAUAAAUGUGUCUGUGGAUGUGAUUGUGAGAUGUUGUUGUGUGUCUGCGUGUGUUAAACCUCUGAUAGAUUGGCAGCUGGGUCAGGAUUUAACAAGUUUAGAAAAAAAACAAACGGAUUGAACAAAACAGAAAUAAAUAUAUGUUUCAUUUCUUAAAAUGUAAAACAAGCACUUUUUUGGACAUG